RNAcentral lists this ribosomal RNA (500 nucleotides) under uncultured bacterium. RNAcentral describes it as "partial 16S ribosomal RNA". It matches the Rfam family "Bacterial small subunit ribosomal RNA", at positions 28 to 507 of the family's 1533-position model. The record is from RNAcentral.
GACGAACGCUGGCGGCGUGCUUAACACAUGCAAGUCGAACGGGUCUGCCCUGUUUUUUGCGGGGUGGGUCAGUGGCGAACGGGUGAGUAACACGUGAGUAACCUGCCCCUCACUUCUGGAUAACCGCUUGAAAGGGUGGCUAAUACGGGGUGUUCUGGCUGUGCCGCAUGGUGUGGCUGGGAAAGAUUCACUUUUGUGGUGUUUUGGUGGGGGAUGGGCUCGCGGCCUAUCAGCUUGUUGGUGGGGUGAUGGCCUGCCAAGGCUUUGACGGGUAGCCGGCCUGAGAGGGUGGGCGGUCACACAGGGAAUGAGAUACGGCCCAGACUCCUGCGGGAGGCAGCAGUGGGGGGUAUUGCACAAUGGGCGGAAGCCUGAUGCAGCGACGUCGCGUGAGGGAUGGAGGCCUUCGGGUUGUGAACCUCUUUCGCCGGUGAAGAAGGUCCUGCUCUUUGUGGUGGGGUUGACGGUAGCCGGGUUAUGAAGCGCCGGCUAACUACGUG